CCAGCUCCAAUAGCGUAUAUUAAAGUUGUUGCAGUUAAAAAGCUCGUAGUUGGAUUUCAGGGAUCGAUGGAGGCCCGGUCUGCCGGGAAGGCGUGUACUGGCCUUGUCGCCCUUCCUUCCGGUUUGCGCCCGGGUGCACUUCACUGUGUGUUCGGGAGAGCUCCGGAUCGUUUACUUUGAAAAAAUUAGAGUGUUUAAAGCAGGCAUCACAAAUGCGCCUUGAAUACAUUAGCAUGGGAUAAUAGAAUAGGACUUUGCGCUUAUUUUGUUGGUUUCUAAGCGAUAGAGUAAUGAUUAAUAGAGAUAGUUGGGGGUAUUCAUAUUUCGUUGUCAGAGGUGAAAUUCUUGGAUUUAUGAAAGAUGAACUUAUGCGAAAGCAUUUAUCAAGGAUGUUUUCA
This 398-nucleotide ribosomal RNA is filed under the name uncultured Protosteliales. RNAcentral describes it as "SSU rRNA". It matches the Rfam family "Eukaryotic small subunit ribosomal RNA", at positions 585 to 972 of the family's 1831-position model. Lineage: Eukaryota; Evosea; Variosea; Protosteliida. The record is from RNAcentral.